Eurytemora carolleeae is the source of this 517-nucleotide long non-coding RNA. RefSeq lists it as uncharacterized. Lineage: Eukaryota; Metazoa; Arthropoda; Copepoda; Calanoida; Temoridae. The record is from RefSeq and is a predicted model, not a curated record. The transcript is spliced from 3 exons.
AGAUGCGGAUCAGGAUCCUGGAUUCGUACUGGAAAAAAUUGGAUCUGGAGCCAAAUCAGGAUCUGGAUCCAGAUCCAGUUGGAAGCAGGACUUAAAGAUACAACAGAAGUUGCAUUCUCAAGGAUUUACUGCAGGUGUAAGUUGGAGGAAGAUUAAAGAAGGCUAAUACUUUAGCGCCAGGAUGAUCUCAAUCUUGCACAUUCAACUUGGAGAUCCAAGAGGGAGAGCAGAGGCUGUGGAGAACAGGGAAAAUGUCAUUUUGAUAAAAAAUUAGUAUUCAGAUUACAUGUUAAUCAUAAGGCCAGCCAGGUCUUAAGCUACUUAUUUAUUUUUCCGUUUAAAGUUGGUUCAUAUAUAUAUAUAUGUGCAGUUAUUUUUUAAAAUGUAAAUCUCACUGUUAUGAAAAUUUAAAAUUUGCAUCUAAACAGAGGUUGAAAAAAUCGCAAUAACUUUAAACCUACAAAUGAAAUUGCUGUAUACUAGCAGAAUUUAUAUUUUCAGAGUUGUGGUUUCUUUA